CCCUUAGAUGUCCGGGGCCGCACGCGCGCUACACUGAUACGUUCAACGAGUUUACAACCUUGAUCGAAGGGUCUGGGUAAUCUUUUGAAUGCGUAUCGUGCUAGGGAUAGACUAUUGCAAUUAUUAGUCUUGAACGAGGAAUUCCUAGUAAACGCAAGUCAUCAGCUUGCAUUGAUUACGUCCCUGCCCUUUGUACACACCGCCCGUCGCACCUACCGAUUGAAUGACUCGGUGAAAUAUCGGGACCGUUGUCUGGCUUGAUUCAUUUCGAACUAGAUAGUGGGAACUUUCUUUAACCUAUUUAUUUAGAGGAAGGUGAAGUCGUAACA
RNAcentral lists this ribosomal RNA (329 nucleotides) under uncultured eukaryote. RNAcentral's name for it is "partial 18S ribosomal RNA". It matches the Rfam family "Eukaryotic small subunit ribosomal RNA", at positions 1470 to 1796 of the family's 1831-position model. The record is from RNAcentral.